CAGUCGCCGCGGUAAUACGGAGGGUGCAAGCGUUAUCCGGAUUUAUUGGGUUUAAAGGGUCCGUAGGCGGAUCUGUAAGUCAGUGGUGAAAUCUCACAGCUUAACUGUGAAACUGCCAUUGAUACUGCAGGUCUUGAGUAAAUUUGAAGUGGCUGGAAUAAGUAGUGUAGCGGUGAAAUGCAUAGAUAUUACUUAGAACACCAAUUGCGAAGGCAGGUCACUAAGAUUUAACUGACGCUGAUGGACGAAAGCGUGGGGAGCGAACAGGAUUAGAUACCCCCGUAGUCCCUGUCUCUUAUAA
This 301-nucleotide ribosomal RNA is filed under the name uncultured bacterium. Its description in RNAcentral is "partial 16S ribosomal RNA". It matches the Rfam family "Bacterial small subunit ribosomal RNA", at positions 509 to 809 of the family's 1533-position model. The record is from RNAcentral.